Molecule: unclassified non-coding RNA, 600 nt
Filed under: uncultured fungus
Lineage: Eukaryota; Fungi
Description: sequence contains 18S rRNA gene, ITS1, 5.8S rRNA gene, ITS2, 28S rRNA gene
Source: RNAcentral
CACCACCAGCGUAACGGGCAAGCCCCAGCGCAUUUCCGAUGCCCCGGCGGCGCUGACGAUCAUCACCCGCGAUGACAUUCGGCGGUCGCCCGCCAACGAUAUCCCUGGCCUGCUCCAGGCUUAUGCCGGCAUCGAUGUGGCGCGCUGGACGGGAGGGCAAUCCGAUAUCGCCAUCCGUGGUGGCGUAAGGUCCUUCAAUCCGCGCCUCCUGGUGCUGGUCAACGGCCGGCAAGCCUAUCUCGACCAUGACGGGAUGACGAAUUGGGCCGGCCUUGGCGUUCAGCUUGAAGAAAUUCGGCAGAUCGAGAUCGUCAGGGGACCCAACAGCGCCUUGUUCGGCUUCAACGCGGUUUCCGGCGUCGUCAACAUCAUCACCGUCAAUCCGUUGCAGACGCAGCAGGCAAGCGUGACGGCAGAAGUCGGCACCGAAGGCCAAUUGCGCGUAUCGGGCGUUGCGGCGCUCAAGCUCAGCGAUUGGCUGGGAUUGCGGCUUUCCGGGGGUUAUGAGAAGUCCGACGAACUCGAUGGACUGAACACAUCCGCGCUCGCGAAUCCACUCGGCCCAACCACUCUUAAGCCGAAGCAUGAGGAAGCCGCCGG